RNAcentral lists this ribosomal RNA (445 nucleotides) under Rickettsia endosymbiont of Ixodes scapularis. RNAcentral's name for it is "bacterial SSU rRNA". It matches the Rfam family "Bacterial small subunit ribosomal RNA", at positions 723 to 1165 of the family's 1533-position model. The record is from RNAcentral. Lineage: Bacteria; Pseudomonadati; Pseudomonadota; Alphaproteobacteria; Rickettsiales; Rickettsiaceae.
GGUCAUCUGGGCUACAACUGACGCUAAUGCACGAAAGCGUGGGGAGCAAACAGGAUUAGAUACCCUGGUAGUCCACGCCGUAAACGAUGAGUGCUAGAUAUCGGAAGAUUCUCUUUCGGUUUCGCAGCUAACGCAUUAAGCACUCCGCCUGGAGAGUACGGUCGCAAGAUUAAAACUCAAAGGAAUUGACGGGGGCUCGCACAAGCGGUGGAGCAUGCGGUUUAAUUCGAUGUUACGCGAAAAACCUUACCAACCCUUGACAUGGUGGUCGCGGAUUGCAGAGAUGCUUUUCUUCAGCUCGGCUGGACCACACACAGGUGUUGCACGGCUGUCGUCAGCUCGUGUCGUGAGAUGUUGGGUUAAGUCCCGCAACGAGCGCAACCCUCAUUCUUAUUUGCCAGCGGGUAAUGCCGGGAACUAUAAGAAAACUGCUGGUGAUAAGCCA